This 922-nucleotide long non-coding RNA is filed under the name Setaria viridis. Its description in RNAcentral is "long non-coding RNA (SVIR_LNC004017)". Lineage: Eukaryota; Viridiplantae; Streptophyta; Magnoliopsida; Poales; Poaceae. The record is from RNAcentral.
UGGCGUCAAAACGAAAUAGAGAUGCCGAUGCACUGAAGGGCAACGACUUGUGAAAACGGCCGAUAGAGUCACAGAGGUUCAGCCGAUGAAAGGUGAUAAAGACCCAGCAGAUGAGGAUGAGAAGUGUCAGCCGAUGAAAAGUGAUAAAAAAUGGGGACCCAGCCGAUGAGGAUGGGAGGUGUCAGCCGAUAAAAGGUGAUUGGGACCCAGCCGAUGCGAGCAAGAGGAUUCCAGCCGAUCGGAGAUAUUAGAGUCCGACCGUUAAAAGGCAAGAGAGUCUUGAUCGGCGAAGAUAUUGCGAGACAAUGGAUGUGGAGUUGAUUGAGGGAGGCCAAAUUUGUUUAUGACUCUUGCUUGAGUCGUUUUAUUUAGAAAAGUUUGUUUCUUUAGGUACAGAUAUUGUAUUACGUUGUAAUAGACUAUAACUAGGUGCGAGAUCUGAAAAGUAUGUACACACAAACAAACAAAUCUACUUUAUUCGUAAAUUACUUUCAAGCCGACGACUUCGCCAAAGUUCUCUUUUUCAUCAUGAGUUCUUCCAAGCUAGCAGGGAUACAUCAUCUUGAUCUCCGACUGGAUUGUAAGUUCUGCGUUUAUCGAGUAAUUUCUAGGCUUUAACUUCCGGCGCAUCGCUGUUGUUUCGUCUAAAUUUAUUCAUCAAGUUAUCGAUAUUUGCUAGAUCUACAAGUUUAUUUGUUUAAAUCUUGCUUCUUUAGGUUUUAUCACCGCUAUCCAGCUUGGAAUAGGUUCCGAUCGGCUUCUUAUCCUGUUUUUUCAAUCAAGAGCUGUUCUAUAACCGAUUAGAUCUGUUUCAAGUGUUGUCUGUGUAGCAUUGUUUAGGUUGCGUUUCAACAGUUCCUUUGCAUUGGUUACGCAUACAUCGACUGACCUAGCCGAUCAUCUUUUUCUAUAUCGAUUACCU